AGAACGUUUCCCUCUGCAUUGUUUCUCCUUCGUCUCCGUCUCCGUCUCCGUCUCCGUCGCCGUUUUCGUGCUGUUGAAUUGUUAGCGGCGCCGUUACUUCUCCGUUCCCGUUCCGCUUCGCGUUUCGCGUUGAAGAGGCCGUUUCCGUUAAGUGACGUUCCUUGACGUUCCGUUAGGGGAGGGGAAACGCGAGGGGAAACGCGACGAUGGACGGGAACGAGGAGAGGAGGAGGAGCCGCUAGAAGAAGGAGGAGGAGGAGGAGGCGAAGUCUAGGGUUAGGGUUAGGGUUUCGACGGUACCUCGCGAUCGUGACCGG
Molecule: long non-coding RNA, 317 nt
Filed under: Ananas comosus (pineapple)
Lineage: Eukaryota; Viridiplantae; Streptophyta; Magnoliopsida; Poales; Bromeliaceae
Description: long non-coding RNA (ACOM_LNC030970)
Source: RNAcentral